This 398-nucleotide ribosomal RNA is filed under the name Trimeresurus stejnegeri (Stejneger's pit viper). Its description in RNAcentral is "partial 16S large subunit ribosomal RNA". It matches the Rfam family "Bacterial large subunit ribosomal RNA", at positions 1968 to 2584 of the family's 2925-position model. The record is from RNAcentral. Lineage: Eukaryota; Metazoa; Chordata; Lepidosauria; Squamata; Viperidae.
UUUGUCUAUUAAUUGUAGACCUGUAUGAAAGGCAAAAUGAGAGCCCAACUGUCUCUUAUAACAAAUCAAUAAAACUGAUCUUCUAGUACAAAAGCUAGAAUACUAACAUAAGACCAGAAGACCCUGUGAAGCUUUAACAAACCCAUUAAAUCUAAUAAUGAUUACUUUCGGUUGGGGCGACCUUGGAAUAAAAAAGAACUUCCAACAUAUGACCUGCUCAUAAAAUAAGGCAAACAAGCCAAUACUAGACCCAGCAUAGCUGAUAAUUGAAAUAAGUUACUCCAGGGAUAACAGCGCUAUCUUCUUUAAGAGCCCAUAUCAAAAAGAAGGUUUACGACCUCGAUGUUGGAUCAGGACAUCCCAGUAAUGCAUCCGUUACUAAAGGUUCGUUUGUUCAA